Molecule: ribosomal RNA, 438 nt
Filed under: Coryphella chriskaugei
Lineage: Eukaryota; Metazoa; Mollusca; Gastropoda; Nudibranchia; Coryphellidae
Description: Fjordia chriskaugei partial 16S ribosomal RNA
Rfam family: Bacterial large subunit ribosomal RNA
Source: RNAcentral
AGCCAUUAGACGAUAUUUAUGGUUUAACCUGCCCAAUGUUAGAGAUAAUGAAUGGCCGCGGUACCCUGACCGUGCUAAGGUAGCGUAAUCAGUUGGCUUUUAAAUGGAGUCAGGAAUGAAUGGGAAAACCGGGUUUAGCUGUCUCCAAACUAUUUUUUUGAAUUUACUGUUUAAGUGAAAAAGCUUAAAAAUGAUAAAGGGACGAGAAGACCCUUAGAAUUUUUUUUAAAAUGAAAACUUUUCAUAAUAAUUUUGUUGGGGCGACAGAGAAAUAUUUAAAACCUUCUUUGAAUUUACAUGCCGAUAUUGUUAAGUAAGAAUAAAUUACCUAAGGGAUAACAGCAUUAUUCUACAGUUGAGUUUGUGACCUCGAUGUUGGACUAGGAAACUAACAGGCUAGCCGUUUGUUGUGUGGGUUCUGUUCGAACUUUAAUUCCU